This 2923-nucleotide ribosomal RNA is filed under the name Klebsiella pneumoniae. RNAcentral's name for it is "bacterial LSU rRNA". It matches the Rfam family "Bacterial large subunit ribosomal RNA". Lineage: Bacteria; Pseudomonadati; Pseudomonadota; Gammaproteobacteria; Enterobacterales; Enterobacteriaceae. The record is from RNAcentral. RNAcentral also lists the same sequence under 1 other name.
GGGUUGUGAGGUUAAGCGACUAAGCGUACACGGUGGAUGCCCUGGCAGUCAGAGGCGAUGAAGGACGUGCUAAUCUGCGAAAAGCGUCGGUAAGGUGAUAUGAACCGUUAUAACCGGCGAUGUCCGAAUGGGGAAACCCAGUGUGAUUCGUCACACUAUCGUUAACUGAAUACAUAGGUUAACGAGGCGAACCGGGGGAACUGAAACAUCUAAGUACCCCGAGGAAAAGAAAUCAACCGAGAUUCCCCCAGUAGCGGCGAGCGAACGGGGAGCAGCCCAGAGUCUGAAUCAGCUUGUGUGUUAGUGGAACGGUCUGGAAAGUCCGACGGUACAGGGUGAUAGUCCCGUACACCAAAAUGCACAGGCUGUGAACUCGAAGAGUAGGGCGGGACACGUGGUAUCCUGUCUGAAUAUGGGGGGACCAUCCUCCAAGGCUAAAUACUCCUGACUGACCGAUAGUGAACCAGUACCGUGAGGGAAAGGCGAAAAGAACCCCGGCGAGGGGAGUGAAAAAGAACCUGAAACCGUGUACGUACAAGCAGUGGGAGCACCUUCGGGUGUGACUGCGUACCUUUUGUAUAAUGGGUCAGCGACUUAUAUUCUGUAGCAAGGUUAACCGUAUAGGGGAGCCGCAGGGAAACCGAGUCUUAACUGGGCGUUAAGUUGCAGGGUAUAGACCCGAAACCCGGUGAUCUAGCCAUGGGCAGGUUGAAGGUUGGGUAACACUAACUGGAGGACCGAACCGACUAAUGUUGAAAAAUUAGCGGAUGACUUGUGGCUGGGGGUGAAAGGCCAAUCAAACCGGGAGAUAGCUGGUUCUCCCCGAAAGCUAUUUAGGUAGCGCCUCGUGAACUCAUCUUCGGGGGUAGAGCACUGUUUCGGCUAGGGGGUCAUCCCGACUUACCAACCCGAUGCAAACUACGAAUACCGAAGAAUGUUAUCACGGGAGACACACGGCGGGUGCUAACGUCCGUCGUGAAGAGGGAAACAACCCAGACCGCCAGCUAAGGUCCCAAAGUCAUGGUUAAGUGGGAAACGAUGUGGGAAGGCACAGACAGCCAGGAUGUUGGCUUAGAAGCAGCCAUCAUUUAAAGAAAGCGUAAUAGCUCACUGGUCGAGUCGGCCUGCGCGGAAGAUGUAACGGGGCUAAACCAUGCACCGAAGCUGCGGCAGCGACACUAUGUGUUGUUGGGUAGGGGAGCGUUCUGUAAGCCUGCGAAGGUGACCUGUGAGGGUUGCUGGAGGUAUCAGAAGUGCGAAUGCUGACAUAAGUAACGAUAAAGCGGGUGAAAAGCCCGCUCGCCGGAAGACCAAGGGUUCCUGUCCAACGUUAAUCGGGGCAGGGUGAGUCGACCCCUAAGGCGAGGCCGAAAGGCGUAGUCGAUGGGAAACAGGUUAAUAUUCCUGUACUUGGUGUUACUGCGAAGGGGGGACGGAGAAGGCUAUGUUAGCCGGGCGACGGUUGUCCCGGUUUAAGCAUGUAGGCUGGUUAUCCAGGCAAAUCCGGAUAAUCAAGGCUGAGGUGUGAUGACGAGGCACUACGGUGCUGAAGUAACAAAUGCCCUGCUUCCAGGAAAAGCCUCUAAGCAUCAGGUAACAUCAAAUCGUACCCCAAACCGACACAGGUGGUCAGGUAGAGAAUACCAAGGCGCUUGAGAGAACUCGGGUGAAGGAACUAGGCAAAAUGGUGCCGUAACUUCGGGAGAAGGCACGCUGGUGUGUAGGUGAAGUCCCUGCGGAUGGAGCUGAGACCAGUCGAAGAUACCAGCUGGCUGCAACUGUUUAUUAAAAACACAGCACUGUGCAAACACGAAAGUGGACGUAUACGGUGUGACGCCUGCCCGGUGCCGGAAGGUUAAUUGAUGGGGUUAUCCGUAAGGAGAAGCUCUUGAUCGAAGCCCCGGUAAACGGCGGCCGUAACUAUAACGGUCCUAAGGUAGCGAAAUUCCUUGUCGGGUAAGUUCCGACCUGCACGAAUGGCGUAAUGAUGGCCAGGCUGUCUCCACCCGAGACUCAGUGAAAUUGAACUCGCUGUGAAGAUGCAGUGUACCCGCGGCAAGACGGAAAGACCCCGUGAACCUUUACUAUAGCUUGACACUGAACAUUGAGCCUUGAUGUGUAGGAUAGGUGGGAGGCUUUGAAGCGUGGACGCCAGUCUGCGUGGAGCCAACCUUGAAAUACCACCCUUUAAUGUUUGAUGUUCUAACGUUGGCCCCUGACCGGGGUUGCGGACAGUGUCUGGUGGGUAGUUUGACUGGGGCGGUCUCCUCCCAAAGCGUAACGGAGGAGCACGAAGGUUAGCUAAUCCUGGUCGGACAUCAGGAGGUUAGUGCAAUGGCAUAAGCUAGCUUGACUGCGAGCGUGACGGCGCGAGCAGGUGCGAAAGCAGGUCAUAGUGAUCCGGUGGUUCUGAAUGGAAGGGCCAUCGCUCAACGGAUAAAAGGUACUCCGGGGAUAACAGGCUGAUACCGCCCAAGAGUUCAUAUCGACGGCGGUGUUUGGCACCUCGAUGUCGGCUCAUCACAUCCUGGGGCUGAAGUAGGUCCCAAGGGUAUGGCUGUUCGCCAUUUAAAGUGGUACGCGAGCUGGGUUUAGAACGUCGUGAGACAGUUCGGUCCCUAUCUGCCGUGGGCGCUGGAGAAUUGAGGGGGGCUGCUCCUAGUACGAGAGGACCGGAGUGGACGCAUCACUGGUGUUCGGGUUGUCAUGCCAAUGGCACUGCCCGGUAGCUAAAUGCGGAAGAGAUAAGUGCUGAAAGCAUCUAAGCACGAAACUUGCCCCGAGAUGAGUUCUCCCUGAGACUUUAAGUCUCCUGAAGGAACGUUGAAGACGACGACGUUGAUAGGCCGGGUGUGUAAGCGCAGCGAUGCGUUGAGCUAACCGGUACUAAUGAACCGUGAGGCUUAACCUUACAACGCCGAAG